RNAcentral lists this ribosomal RNA (812 nucleotides) under Fusarium chlamydosporum. Its description in RNAcentral is "eukaryotic LSU rRNA". It matches the Rfam family "Eukaryotic large subunit ribosomal RNA", at positions 76 to 919 of the family's 3401-position model. Lineage: Eukaryota; Fungi; Ascomycota; Sordariomycetes; Hypocreales; Nectriaceae. The record is from RNAcentral.
UGCCCUAGUACGGCGAGUGAAGCGGCAACAGCUCAAAUUUGAAAUCUGGCUCUCGGGCCCGAGUUGUAAUUUGUAGAGGAUGCUUUUGAUGCGGUGCCUUCCGAGUUCCCUGGAACGGGACGCCAUAGAGGGUGAGAGCCCCGUCUGGUUGGAUGCCAAAUCUCUGUAAAGCUCCUUCGACGAGUCGAGUAGUUUGGGAAUGCUGCUCUAAAUGGGAGGUAUAUGUCUUCUAAAGCUAAAUAUUGGCCAGAGACCGAUAGCGCACAAGUAGAGUGAUCGAAAGAUGAAAAGCACUUUGAAAAGAGAGUUAAAAAGUACGUGAAAUUGUUGAAAGGGAAGCGUUUAUGACCAGACUUGGGCUUGGUUAAUCAUCUGGGGUUCUCCCCAGUGCACUUUUCCAGUCCAGGCCAGCAUCAGUUUUCGCCGGGGGAUAAAGGCUUCGGGAAUGUGGCUCUCUCCGGGGAGUGUUAUAGCCCGUUGCGUAAUACCCUGGCGGGGACUGAGGUUCGCGCAUCUGCAAGGAUGCUGGCGUAAUGGUCAUCAACGACCCGUCUUGAAACACGGACCAAGGAGUCGUCUUCGUAUGCGAGUGUUCGGGUGUCAAACCCCUACGCGUAAUGAAAGUGAACGCAGGUGAGAGCUUCGGCGCAUCAUCGACCGAUCCUGAUGUUCUCGGAUGGAUUUGAGUAAGAGCAUACGGGGCCGGACCCGAAAGAAGGUGAACUAUGCCUGUGUAGGGUGAAGCCAGAGGAAACUCUGGUGGAGGCUCGCAGCGGUUCUGACGUGCAAAUCGAUCGUCAAACAUGGGCAUG